CGCCCCGCGGGGCGGGAACCCUGAGGGGCCGGGAGGGGUCCGGAGCACCGGGAGCGGCUGAGGGAGCCGGGAAAGGGUCUGGAGCACCGGGAGCGGCUGAGGGAGCCGGGAAAGGGCUCAGCCUGGAGAAAAGGAGGCUCGGGGGGACCUUGUGGCUCUCCUCUGACAGGAGGGAGCAGCCGGGGGGGGUCGGGCUUUGCACCCAGGGAACAGGGACAGGACAAGGAUGGCCUCAAGCUGGGCCGCAGGAGGUUCAGGUUGGGUACUGGGGAACAUUUCUUCCCUGAAGAGGUGGUCAGGCCCUGGCACAGCUGCCCAGAGCAGUGGGCAUGGAGUGGUGGAAUCACCAUUCCUGAACGUGUUCAAAAUAUGUGUGGAUUAUGGCACCUGGGGACAUGGUUUCAUAUGGCAAUGCUGGGGGAGUGGUGGGACUCAGUGAUCUCAGAGGGCUUUUUCGACCUUAAUGAUGCUGUGGUUCCAUGGUUCUCGGUUCCCUGCUGCAGUGUUCUGGAAGCAGAACUCUCAUAGGGUGCUGGGCACAGGCCUCCCCUCCUCUGGUGUGGGUCCUGCCGGGUGAACCCCUGGAACUGGCUUUGCCAGGGCUGCAGGAGCCAAGCUGUGAGCCUGCUUUAGAUCCCAGAAUUUUUAAAUGAAUACUAUUUUUGAGCUCUUCCCACACACACAACUCAACAUCUCCGGCAGAUCGCCUCCAGCUGACAGCCCUGAGCCGCCUCCGCUCCCCUCCUGCCCUUGAGCUUGCUUCCAAUCCUGCCUGGGGAUGAAUUUUAAAACCUGGAUCCAUCCAUAUAGUCAGAACCAGGGUCAGUCUGUUUGAAGGCUGUACAUGGAAUGAGAGAUUGGAGUGCUCAUUUGACCUCAGUCUUGCUAAAGAAGCAAAUGAUUGUCAAGAUCCAGCAGCUGGAGAUGAGAAUUCAAUGUUUGACAAGGAGUUGUCCUCUGUAUCCACCUGGUGCUGAUUUUCCAAGGCUGCCGAUGAAAUCUCUGGGGAUAUCAAAGGCCUGUUUGGAACAACUGGUGGCUCCCCCACCACCUGCAUGGAUGCAACCUCACCUCAAAUCCAGGGAGCAGUUUUGGGCACCUCAGUACAAGAAGGAUCUGAAGCUAUUGGAGUGUCCAAAGAUGGGACAUGGAAAUAGGGAAGGGUCUGGAUGGGCCACAGGAGGAGUGGCUGAGGACACUUGGUCUGUUCACCCUGGAGCCUGAGGUCAGACCCCACUGGGGGCUGCAGCUCCUCAUGAGGGGCAGCUCUGAUCUCUGAUCUCUGCUCUCUGUGAGCAGGGACAGCACCCAGGGAAGGGCUGGAGCUGUGCCAGGCCAGGCUCAGGCUGGAGAUCAGGGAAAGGUUCUUCCCCCUGAGGGUGCUGGCACUGCCCAGGCUCCCCAGGGAAUGGGCACAGCCCCGAGGCUGCCAGAGCUCCAGGAGUGUUUGGACAAGGCUCUCAGGGGUGCACAGGGUGGGAUUUUGGGGUGUCUGUGCAGGGCCAGGGGUUGGACCUGAUGAUCCUUGUGUGUCCUUUCCAGCUCAGAUGUUCUAUCUAUAAUUCUAUCAUUUUUUUUCAAAAAAGAAAAAAUCUGGGGAAAAUUUAGGACAGCCACAGUAAAAAUUGCAUAUUGAAAUUAAAAUUUAUAUCUCAAAGGAAGAAAAGUACAACACAAUUUACUGUAUGUUUAUGAAUUAGGUACAUGUUCUUAUUUGAAUGGUGACAUGUAUUGUGUUGCUCUCUAAUGUUCUUCAUACAGCUUUUAUCCUUUUUAAUAAGUAUUUUUAAAAUAGGAAAAACAAAUUAAAAUAGAGAAAUU
This 1821-nucleotide long non-coding RNA is filed under the name Parus major (Great Tit). Its description in RNAcentral is "lncRNA (ENSPMJG00000007622.1)". Lineage: Eukaryota; Metazoa; Chordata; Aves; Passeriformes; Paridae. The record is from RNAcentral.